UACGUAGGGUGCGAGCGUUGUCCGGAAUUAUUGGGCGUAAAGGGCUCGUAGGCGGUUUGUCGCGUCGGGAGUGAAAACCAGGUGCUUAACACCUGGCUUGCUUUCGAUACGGGCAGGCUAGAGGUAUUCAGGGGAGAACGGAAUUCCUGGUGUAGCGGUGAAAUGCGCAGAUAUCAGGAGGAACACCGGUGGCGAAGGCGGUUCUCUGGGAAUGACCUGACGCUGAGGAGCGAAAGUGUGGGGAGCGAACAGG
RNAcentral lists this ribosomal RNA (253 nucleotides) under uncultured bacterium. RNAcentral's name for it is "partial 16S ribosomal RNA". It matches the Rfam family "Bacterial small subunit ribosomal RNA", at positions 524 to 776 of the family's 1533-position model. The record is from RNAcentral.